GGUUGUGCGAGGACGAAAAGUGUUCCCACCUACGCCUCCAUCUUGGCGGAUGUAGUCAACAUUUCUUAAGCACUUACAAUGUGCCAGGCACUGAGCAGAGAGAUUUACUUCUAUUAUCUCUUUAAUCUUCAAUCAUUUUAUGAAGGAAUCUUGAUAUGAUGCCUACCUUCUGUUUUAGGAUUUUCUGAAUGAAACUGCUAUGAAGACACAUGUGAAAAUCUGAAUGAACAUGUUUUUAUUUUUCUUGGGUCAAUGCUUAGAAGGGGAAUUGUUGGAUUAUGUGAUGCCUGGUUUAUUGGAGUUAUUUUUGUGAACAGAGUAAGACAGGCCCUGCUCUAAGCUCUUUUUAUGGAUCAUCUCACUUACAAAGCUCAUGAGCUCCUCCAGCCUGCUCAUGGAAGACUGCAAUGUUAUUUGGAAUUGCCAGGACUGACUGCAUUCAACUACUUCACCUGGGACUGCAGUCACCUGUAGAUUUGGCUAAAACAUUAAGAAGGCCCAUCACAUGGCUGGCAGUUGGUAUUGGCCAUUGGCUGGAGGCUUGGCUGGGACUGUUGACUGGAACUUCUUGGUUCUUCUCCAUGUGUCCUUUCCACCUUGACUGGGCUUCUAACAGCAUAACAGCUGGAUUCCAAGAGAGAGUAUUUCAAAUAUUCACUCCAAAGCAGAAGCCAGAGAUAUCUUAUGAUCUAGCUUUAUAAGUUACACAAUGUCACUUCUGUAGGCCAAAGCAAGUCAGAGGCCACCCCAGUUCAAGGGAGGGAGAAGAUUCUAUCUCUUGAUGGGAGGAACUGCUAAAAAUUUGGGCAAUCUUUAACAUAUCAUAGGGGAAGGUGAAAUCAUAAGGGGAUAAUUGAUGGAUUCACUGAGAAAAUGGCAGGACUUGGGACCCAGGGCGCAGUUUUGGCUUGAGAGAGAAGAGGGCCUUGGAAUGUGGAUCUGGGAGGGUAAGGUCAUCUUACAUUUCAUCAAAAAGAUCUGAGCAGGGCAACAAGCUACAAGGUUCUAGGUUGUAUAAACAACUUCAAUUUUUCCUCCUCCCUUUUCAGGAUAGAUAGUUAAGUAGAGAGAAGUUCUCAAGAACAACACAUAUUAUUGAGAGCUAAUAUGUGGCCUUCAUCAAUUCUCUCAAUGGUCAUAUGAGGUCAAUUGAGGUCAAUGUCAUGAUGCCCAUUUUACAGAUAAAGCAACUGAGGCUCAGAAAAUCUUUCUCUCUCUCUGAGUUUACAUGAAUGUGUUGAUUAUCUGCACAUAAAAGAUAUUUGCUCUCUCCUAUCUGAGGAGCAUGAAGGUGUCAGAACAGUACCUUAAAGAAAGGAACCCAUAAUAGACAUGGAGUGAAAUUCUCAUCCCAGCAGAAAGACUCAGGGAAUGGGGGCAUCAGCUCAGGCUCUGUCAGCCUGAAAGGUUCUUGGGAUGGGAUGGAGCCUGGGACUGUGAGAUGCAAACCUCUCAGGACAAGAGGACAGGGAGGAAGAAGAUGCUUGGCUGCAGAAACCAGGGGCUGGUGACCACCAUUCUCACUACCCUAA
Molecule: long non-coding RNA, 1532 nt
Organism: Artibeus jamaicensis (Jamaican fruit-eating bat)
Lineage: Eukaryota; Metazoa; Chordata; Mammalia; Chiroptera; Phyllostomidae
Exons: 5
Source: RefSeq, a predicted model, not a curated record